Long non-coding RNA from Rhineura floridana, 2354 nucleotides. RefSeq lists it as uncharacterized. The record is from RefSeq and is a predicted model, not a curated record. The transcript is spliced from 2 exons. Lineage: Eukaryota; Metazoa; Chordata; Lepidosauria; Squamata; Rhineuridae.
GAUGGAAAAAGGAGUGGGAAUAGGAGCACGGAGACACCGGAGGGAGCUCGCCUGAGGCCUUUUCCCUCUUCCAACAGCGGAGGAAGAGAGAAGGGAGCCUGCUAUUGCACCACCACUCAGUUUCUUUCAGUCCAGGGUGGUAGCCCAGUUGUCUCCUCCCCGCGGUGGAAGCGCGGCGACCGUGGCGGCACCAGCACAGCCGUUCUUUCCGCCGCCUGCUUUGCCCGGCCGCCGCCGACAAUCUCCAUCCGCCAUUAUUCUUUGUUCGUUACGCGGGGCCCGCCGUGGCGGUUGCGGCCGGGUUCGGCGAGGCGACGGCAAUACUGACAAGGGGAGGUGGGAAAUAUAUGCGACAGGGGGGAGUCAGAGAGGAGGCCCCAUCUUGACUUAAAAAGAAAAGGGGAGAAAAAGAGAGGAAGCGGGCGCCCCUCCUGCUGAGCGAGGCCAGGCCCAAGCCGAACCUCGGUUCUCUCUCCCCCUCCCGGCCUCCAAGCUCCCCUCGAUCGCCUUCUUCCCACCAACACCCGCCCGCCAAACAACUCCGCCUCAACGGCGGCCGCUGGUGCUGCUGGCCCCGCCGCCGCCGCCCCUCCCUGUUUUUCUUCUGUUGGUCUUUCUCUCCUUCCUUCUCUCUGCUUUUCUUUGCUUUUCUCCUCUUACCGGCUACAGGCUGCUCCGUCACUGCUUUCGUUCGCGCCUAGGCUCUCGCCGCAGUUUUAUUCUCUCCCCCACGUAACACACCGCGUCAAACUACACCUCCGCCGCGUCACUCACAUAACACACACACGCUCUCUCAGGCUCUCCCAGCCCCGGCGACAGGCAAGCAGCAGCGGCCGACUGAGGGGGAGAGAGAGGAGCCAGCCAGGGAGCAAGCGCCGCCGAGCAUGCCUCGGCUCUCCUCCCUCUCUCUGCCCCCCCUGAACAGCCAGCGCACACCCCCUCCCUUUCUUAGACACACGGAAACAGCCGAACGGCCACCGCGGAAAAGCCCGAAGACGGGUGCUCGAUGGCGGCGGAAACGAAGGACCAACCGAGUGAAAGCAAGCGACGGAAGUAAUGGAAGCACUCGUCAUCGUUCAGCGGCGAAAACUCCCGAACAUGAGCGAACAAAACCGACAGCGAGAACGAAGAAAGAUAAAGAGAACAAGCGAAUAACACGUCGCUCGGCUCUUCAGCUGGCUGCACUUCACGGAAAGAGCCGAAGUUGUUUUUGUAAUUCGCGGCUGGGGGAGGGGGCGUGAAUACGAAGAGGAGAAAUGUGAAGAAAAUCUGAGGCGUCGUAACAACAAGCCAGGGCUUGAGACUGACCUAAAGUCAAUUCUCCUUCUGUCUCCAUUGAUGCUGUAAAACACAUUUUUGUUGCGCCGCCCGCCCACCUGAACGAGAGUGGUGCUCUGUUCCCUGGAGAUGUAGUAAAGACAAUGACUUAUACAUCAUGUCUAUACUAAAAAGAAAAAAAUAGUCGUUUCGCUCAGGAAACACAGAAACAUAAUAUUCAUGGCCUUUAUUCUAAUUUUUUAUGGUGACUAUGUAAAGAAAAUGGGUUCCGGGCUAGAUAAUGGCCCAGUCACUGCUGGUAUGGUCAGAAUCCAAAACUGGGCCAGCUAGGCCAUUUGUCAACCCUCAACUUCACCUUUCCAUCUCCCUACCUGUCAGCACCAUCUGAUUGGCCACUGAGAACAUAAUGCUGGAUUAGAUGGGCCUUUGGCCUAACCCAAAAUUCUCAAGUGCAGUCACUCUUCAGAACAACCCCAUAACUGCCCCUUCAUAUACAACAAAAAAGGAAGAGCAACAAGAUUGCAAGGGGCAAUGAAGCAUGGGUAACAUGAAGACCUGUAGUAUUUGCAGGUUGGAAACAGUCUUUCAUCUACUACUACUACUACUACUACUAUUACUACUGUGCCUAUGAACCAGUGUUCACCAACACCACCUCCCCCUUUGGGAUGUAUUAGUAAUAGUGCAAUCCUUACCAAAUCUACUAAGCCCCACCGAACUCAGUGGGGCUUGUUCCCUGAUAAAUGGGGUUAGGAUUGCAGCCUAAAAUUGUAAGAGCUAGCUGCUGGUGGUGGUGCUGGCUUCAGACUACGACCUCAAUUUAGCAAGCAAUUUUCAUCAGAGCUUGGGUGGACACUAGGCAGGUAGUGUGUGUACAUACAUGUUUUUGAUGAGGUUAUUGCCACAAAUGAUUCCUAGGUAAGAUAUUUGGAUUCAAAAUCCUAACUUUUUGGGGAGGGGAAUAGUGAAUGAUAUGGGUGGUGGUGGCUGGUAACAUUUUGACUUGGUAGGGGCUGCAAUUUUAAACCUUGCUGUUUUCAUCACAAUAGGAAAGUAUGCCAUUACACGUAUAUGCAGAG